This 226-nucleotide unclassified non-coding RNA is filed under the name Ascomycota sp. RNAcentral describes it as "partial contains small subunit ribosomal RNA, internal transcribed spacer 1, and 5.8S ribosomal RNA". The stretch from base 1 to 47 matches the Rfam family "Eukaryotic small subunit ribosomal RNA", at positions 1785 to 1831 of the family's 1831-position model. Lineage: Eukaryota; Fungi; Ascomycota. The record is from RNAcentral.
AAAGUCGUAACAAGGUUUCCGUAGGUGAACCUGCGGAAGGAUCAUUAUUGAAAGCUUCGGCUUCCUUUGAUGCUUAACCCUUUUGAUGUCCAUUACCUCAGUUGCUUCCACGAAUUCUUCUUGGAUUCGUGGUCGGCCUUUAAUAAAAACCUUUAUAAUUAGCUAUGGUUUGUCUGAAUAAACAAAAAAUGUUUUAAAACUUUCAACAACGGAUCUCUUGGCUCCU